Molecule: ribosomal RNA, 253 nt
Filed under: uncultured bacterium
Lineage: Bacteria
Description: partial 16S ribosomal RNA
Rfam family: Bacterial small subunit ribosomal RNA
Source: RNAcentral
UACGUAGGGUGCAAGCGUUGUCCGGAAUUAUUGGGCGUAAAGAGCUCGUAGGCGGCUUGUCGCGUCGAAUGUGAAAUCUCAGGGCUCAACUCUGACAUUGCAUUCGAUACGGGCAGACUAGAGUGCGGUAGGGGAGACUGGAAUUCCUGGUGUAGCGGUGAAAUGCGCAGAUAUCAGGAGGAACACCGGUGGCGAAGGCGGGUCUCUGGGCCGUAACUGACGCUGAGGAGCGAAAGCGUGGGGAGCGAACAGG